UUGGAUGUGAAUUGAUUAUGUUUGGAUAAACUUAUUUAAAAGUGAUUCUUAUGAGUUGAUGUUGUUUGGAUAG
MicroRNA precursor from Medicago truncatula (barrel medic), 73 nucleotides. It matches the Rfam family "MIR5272 microRNA precursor family". The record is from Rfam. Lineage: Eukaryota; Viridiplantae; Streptophyta; Magnoliopsida; Fabales; Fabaceae.